RNAcentral lists this ribosomal RNA (253 nucleotides) under uncultured bacterium. RNAcentral's name for it is "partial 16S ribosomal RNA". It matches the Rfam family "Bacterial small subunit ribosomal RNA", at positions 524 to 776 of the family's 1533-position model. The record is from RNAcentral.
UACGUAGGCAGCGAGCGUUGUUCGGAUUUACUGGGCGUAAAGCGCGCGUAGGCGGUUCGUUAAGUGGGAUGUGAAAUCCCCGGGCUUAACCUGGGAAUUGCAUUUCAAACUGGCCGACUAGAGUACGGUAGAGGGAGGUAGAAUUUCCUGUGUAGCGGUGAAAUGCGUAGAUAUAGGAAGGAAUACCAGUGGCGAAGGCGGCCUCCUGGAUCGAUACUGACGCUGAGGCGCGAAAGCGUGGGGAGCAAACAGG